ACUCCUGCGGGAGGCAGCAGUGGGGAAUAUUGCACAAUGGGCGCAAGCCUGAUGCAGCCAUGCCGCGUGUAUGAAGAAGGCCUUCGGGUUGUAAAGUACUUUCAGCGGGGAGGAAGGCGAUAAGGUUAAUAACCUUGUCGAUUGACGUUACCCGCAGAAGAAGCACCGGCUAACUCCGUGCCAGCAGCCGCGGUAAUACGGAGGGUGCAAGCGUUAAUCGGAAUUACUGGGCGUAAAGCGCACGCAGGCGGUCUGUCAAGUCGGAUGUGAAAUCCCCGGGCUCAACCUGGGAACUGCAUUCGAAACUGGCAGGCUAGAGUCUUGUAGAGGGGGGUAGAAUUCCAGGUGUAGCGGUGAAAUGCGUAGAGAUCUGGAGGAAUACCGGUGGCGAAGGCGGCCCCCUGGACAAAGACUGACGCUCAGGUGCGAAAGUGUGGGGAGCAAACAGGAUUAGAUACCCUGGUAGUCCCAUG
This 473-nucleotide ribosomal RNA is filed under the name uncultured organism. Its description in RNAcentral is "partial 16S ribosomal RNA". It matches the Rfam family "Bacterial small subunit ribosomal RNA", at positions 335 to 799 of the family's 1533-position model. The record is from RNAcentral.